RNAcentral lists this ribosomal RNA (493 nucleotides) under uncultured bacterium. RNAcentral's name for it is "partial 16S ribosomal RNA". It matches the Rfam family "Bacterial small subunit ribosomal RNA", at positions 30 to 523 of the family's 1533-position model. The record is from RNAcentral.
AUUGAACGCUGGCGGCAUGCCUUACACAUGCAAGUCGAACGGUAACAGGUUAAGCUGACGAGUGGCGAACGAGUGAGUAAUGUAUCGGAACGUGCCCAGUUGUGGGGGAUAACUGCUCGAAAGAGCAGCUAAUACCGCAUACGACCUGAGGGUGAAAGCGGGGGAUCGCAAGACCUCGCGCAAUUGGAGCGGCCGAUAUCAGAUUAGGUAGUUGGUGGGGUAAAGGCUCACCAAGCCGACGAUCUGUAGCUGGUCUGAGAGGACGACCAGCCACACUGGGACUGAGACACGACCCAGACUCCUACGGGAGGCAGCAGUGGGGAAUUUUGGACAAUGGGCGCAAGCCUGAUCCAGCCAUGCCGCGUGCGGGAAGAAGGCCUUCGGGUUGUAAACCGCUUUUGUCAGGGAAGAAACGCUCUGGGUUAAUACCCUGGGGUAAUGACGGUACCUGAAGAAUAAGCACCGGCUAACUACGUGCCAGCAGCCGCGGUAA